Molecule: long non-coding RNA, 618 nt
Organism: Rhea pennata
Lineage: Eukaryota; Metazoa; Chordata; Aves; Rheiformes; Rheidae
Exons: 5
Source: RefSeq, a predicted model, not a curated record
AAGGACUUGCGACAGCAGCAAGACACCGCAGCUCAGCAAGGGCACUGAAGAAGAGUUCAGGGGAAUAGUACUGUUAUUACAAAUCUACUAAAUUAUACUGACAACAAACUCUUCUAAACUUUGGCAGCAAUGCCUGGCCCUCCGCAAGAUCGAGUUGUCUGGCCCCCUUGGUUGCAUACAUGGAUGGAGUUAGAUGCCAAAAUCUCUGUACACUACCUAAGGAAAGGGUUGUCACAGUGUUGAAAGGACACCAUAACCACUCGAACAGUUGAAAAUAAAAGUUCCUGUUCUGAAGCAUGCAGAAGAAAAAAAUGCAAGACGUUCAUUUAUGUGAAGUCAGCUACAAAGUACAGUGGAAUUAUUUCAUAACUGCUUAACAGUGCAUAAUUUUAAUUAGUGAUAUGCCUCCGCACUAUAUGGACGUUUCGCAGCAAUCAGGUGGCAGACAAUCAGCAGAAGAUACCAUGCACAGAAAUACCAAGACAGACUACUGAUCAGAUGAUCAAGUCCAGUUGGGUUUGGAACAUCUCCAAGAGUGGAGACUCUGCAGCUUCUUUUGGCAACCUGUGCCAGUUCAAAUAUCCUCACAAUAAAGUGUUUUCUUGUGUUCAAAUGGAA